CGGGCAGUGGCGCAGCUUGGUAGCGCGCCUCGUUCGGGACGAGGAGGUCGUGGGUUCAAAUCCCGCCUGCCCGACCA
Molecule: transfer RNA, 77 nt
Filed under: Acidimicrobiia bacterium
Lineage: Bacteria; Bacillati; Actinomycetota; Acidimicrobiia
Also listed under: 1 other name
Description: tRNA-Pro
Rfam family: tRNA
About the family: Transfer RNA (tRNA) molecules are approximately 80 nucleotides in length. Their secondary structure includes four short double-helical elements and three loops (D, anti-codon, and T loops). Further hydrogen bonds mediate the characteristic L-shaped molecular structure. tRNAs have two regions of fundamental functional importance: the anti-codon, which is responsible for specific mRNA codon recognition, and the 3' end, to which the tRNAs corresponding amino acid is attached (by aminoacyl-tRNA synthetases). tRNAs cope with the degeneracy of the genetic code in two manners: having more than one tRNA (with a specific anti-codon) for a particular amino acid; and 'wobble' base-pairing, i.e. permitting non-standard base-pairing at the 3rd anti-codon position.
Source: RNAcentral